UGGUUACAAUAGCAGAGAGGAUACACCUGUUCCCAUUCCGAACACAGAAGUUAAGCUCUCUAGCGCUGAUGGUACUUGGUGGGAAACUGCC
This 91-nucleotide ribosomal RNA is filed under the name Clostridioides difficile. The record is from RNAcentral. Lineage: Bacteria; Bacillati; Bacillota; Clostridia; Peptostreptococcales; Peptostreptococcaceae.